This 104-nucleotide non-coding RNA is filed under the name Palpitomonas bilix. The record is from RNAcentral.
UAUAAAAGAAAAAAAGGAAGGGGGGAAACGGGUGGUGAAACAACAUCCUGAGACGUCCUUCUUCUUUCUUCGAUUUUUCCUUUUUCCUUUCUUCACCUUUCGUU